This is a long non-coding RNA of Brachypodium distachyon (stiff brome), 374 nucleotides long. RefSeq lists it as uncharacterized. Lineage: Eukaryota; Viridiplantae; Streptophyta; Magnoliopsida; Poales; Poaceae. The record is from RefSeq and is a predicted model, not a curated record. The transcript is spliced from 2 exons.
AAAACCGGCCCCGACGCCGUCGACACGACCAUGUGCUCUCUGCUCUGCCGUGGCCAGCCGGCCUCCCCCACCUCCACCCAACUGACCCGAUCGAUCCGAAAGGAAAAGGUGUCCUGGUGAUCUCUGCUAUAAAAUAGUUUAACUUGGAACCGAUGGACGAACGAUCAACCGGAGGAGGGAGGACGUGAAAAAGAACACGCACGAUUCACACAAGAACACACAGAUUUACCCAGGUUCGGAGCCCUCUCGUCGAGGUAAGACUCUUACUCCUGUUUUGCUGUAUUAGUCGAGAUAGACAAGCUCUACAAUUGUGCUCCUUGAGCUGUGUUCUUGAGAAAGAAGAAGAAAGAGAAACCCUAAAAUGUCUAAGUGCU